CAUGUAGGCGGUUGUUUAAGUCUGAUGUGAAAGCCCUGGGCUCAACCCAGGAGGUGCAUUGGAUACUGGACAACUUGAGUACGGGAGAGGAAAGUGGAAUUUCGAGUGUAGGGGUGAAAUCCGUAGAUAUUCGAAAGAACACCAGUGGCGAAGGCGGCUUUCUGGACCGAUACUGACGCUGAGAUGCGAAAGCGUGGGGAGCAAACA
RNAcentral lists this ribosomal RNA (207 nucleotides) under uncultured bacterium. RNAcentral describes it as "partial 16S ribosomal RNA". It matches the Rfam family "Bacterial small subunit ribosomal RNA", at positions 568 to 774 of the family's 1533-position model. The record is from RNAcentral.